GCCAGGCACGGUGGUGGGUGCCUGUAAUCCCAGCUACUUGGGAGGCUGAGGCGGGAGAAUCGCUUGAACCCAGGAGGCAGAGGUUGCAGCGAGCCGAGAUCGCGCCACUGCACUCCAGCCUGGGUGAUAGAGUGAGACUCUGUCUCAA
This 148-nucleotide small RNA is filed under the name Papio anubis (olive baboon). Its description in RNAcentral is "Metazoan signal recognition particle RNA (ENSPANG00000049636.1)". The record is from Rfam by way of RNAcentral. Lineage: Eukaryota; Metazoa; Chordata; Mammalia; Primates; Cercopithecidae.